GAUGAAGAACGUAGCGAAAUGCGAUAAGUAAUGCGAAUUGCAGAAUUCAGUGAGUCAUCGAAUCUUUGAACGCACAUUGCGCCCUGUGGUAUUCCGCAGGGCAUGCCUGUUCGAGCGUCAUUUCAACCCUCAAGCUCUGCUUGGUGUUGGGCCCUGCCCGCUGCGGCCGGCCCUAAAGACAGUGGCGGUGCCGCCUGGCCCUGAGCGUAGUACAUCUCUCGCUCCAGUGCCCGGUGGUAGCCUGCCAGCACCCCAACUCUCGUGGUUGACCUCGGAUCAGGUAGGGAUACCCGCUGAACUUAAGCAUAUCAAUAACGGAGGA
Molecule: unclassified non-coding RNA, 322 nt
Filed under: soil metagenome
Description: partial contains 5.8S ribosomal RNA, internal transcribed spacer 2, and large subunit ribosomal RNA
Rfam family: 5.8S ribosomal RNA (bases 1-120)
Source: RNAcentral